CCUACGGGUGGCAGCAGUGAGGAAUGUUGGUCAAUGGCCGAGAGGCUGAACCAGCCAAGUCGCGUGAGGGAUGACGGCCCUACGGGUUGUAAACCUCUUUUGUCGGGGAGCCAAGAGAGUCACGUGUGGCUCAUUGAGAGUACCCGAAGAAAAAGCAUCGGCUAACUCCGUGCCAGCAGCCGCGGUAAUACGGAGGAUGCGAGCGUUAUCCGGAUUUAUUGGGGUUAAAGGGUGCGCAGGCGGAGGUGCAAGUCAGUGGUCAAAUUUCGGGGCUCAACCCCGUCGUGCCGUUGAAACUGGCGUUCUUGAGUGAGCGAGAAGUAUGCGGAAUGCGUGGUGUAGCGGUGAAAUGCAUAGAUAUCACGCAGAACUCCGAUUGCGAAGGCAGCAUACCGGCGCUCAACUGACGCUCAUGCACGAAAGCGUGGGUAUCGAACAGGAUUAGAUACCCUUGUAGUC
RNAcentral lists this ribosomal RNA (459 nucleotides) under uncultured bacterium. RNAcentral's name for it is "partial 16S ribosomal RNA". It matches the Rfam family "Bacterial small subunit ribosomal RNA", at positions 338 to 795 of the family's 1533-position model. The record is from RNAcentral.